UACGAAGGGGGCAAGCGUUGUUCGGAAUUACUGGGCGUAAAGCGCACGUAGGCGGGUGGUUAAGUUGGGGGUGAAAUCCCGAGGCUCAACUCCGGAACUGCCCUCGAGACUGCAGAGCUGGAGGAUGCGGGAGGUGAGUGGAAUUCCGAGUGUAGAGGUGAAAUGCGUAGAUAUUCGGAAGAACACCCGAGGCGAAGGCGGCUCACUAGGCUAUUGCUGACGCUGAGGUGCGAAAGCGAGGGGAGCAAACCGG
This 253-nucleotide ribosomal RNA is filed under the name uncultured bacterium. RNAcentral's name for it is "partial 16S ribosomal RNA". It matches the Rfam family "Bacterial small subunit ribosomal RNA", at positions 524 to 776 of the family's 1533-position model. The record is from RNAcentral.